AGUAUUCUGGACUUUGGUCCUCAGUUGAGAUUCAGGGUGGCUGGAAAUAAAUUAGUAGUCCAGGAUGGGAUUUCCUGCAAUCAUUAUAUAAUUGUUUCCGUUGUUUGAAUAUUAUUUGAUGCUGAGAUUAGAAAUGUUUGUCUAGGUUUUCUAUUUCCUUCCCUUCCUACCUAGCUGCUGUUAAACAUCUAUCUUGCCAGAAGUUUCUGCUAUGGAGGGAUAAAUUAAGCUGCCAUCUCAAGCCUCUGUUGCACGACACCGAACCUCAAGCAGGUUGACGACGUUGAAGAAGAUACAGUCGAUGACAUCGAGCCCUCUCGAACUUCACCCUAAUUUUCCACUAUCAAAUGAUGGAUUUGACCAGCCAUCUUCAUGUUCGGGGCGACUUACUGCAGCGGUUACUAUGAUGAAGAGUUUUGAAGUCCAUUCUUUGUCAACCCCUAUCGAGCUGUUAGUCUCUGCAACAAGGUUUUCAAGAAGCGAGAGUCCUGGCAAAAGCUUGCAGUGCUCAUCCGGCAGCAUUCAACCAUCAGAACUCCUCUCCUUUGCAAAAUCUCAAGUAAUAC
Molecule: long non-coding RNA, 566 nt
Organism: Eucalyptus grandis
Lineage: Eukaryota; Viridiplantae; Streptophyta; Magnoliopsida; Myrtales; Myrtaceae
Exons: 3
Source: RefSeq, a predicted model, not a curated record